CAUUCCUACGGGAGGCAGCAGUGGGGAAUAUUGGGCAAUGGGCGCAAGCCUGACCCAGCAACGCCGCGUGAAGGAAGAUGGCUUUCGGGUUGUAAACUUCUUUUAUGAGGGACGAAAGAAAUGACGGUACCUCAUGAAUAAGCCACGGCUAACUACGUGCCAGCAGCCGCGGUAAUACGUAGGUGGCAAGCGUUAUCCGGAUUUAUUGGGUGUAAAGGGCGUGUAGGCGGGAAUGCAAGUCAGAUGUGAAAACUAUGGGCUCAACCCAUAGCCUGCAUUCGAAACUGUAUUUCUUGAGUGCUGGG
Molecule: ribosomal RNA, 305 nt
Filed under: uncultured bacterium
Lineage: Bacteria
Description: bacterial SSU rRNA
Rfam family: Bacterial small subunit ribosomal RNA
Source: RNAcentral